GGGUGAUUUUGCUAAUGUUAGA
This 22-nucleotide non-coding RNA is filed under the name Arabidopsis thaliana (thale cress). The record is from RNAcentral. Lineage: Eukaryota; Viridiplantae; Streptophyta; Magnoliopsida; Brassicales; Brassicaceae.